Non-coding RNA from Sphingomonas sp. 67-41, 75 nucleotides. The record is from Rfam. Lineage: Bacteria; Pseudomonadati; Pseudomonadota; Alphaproteobacteria; Sphingomonadales; Sphingomonadaceae.
AGCACCUGCCUUUCAGGCAUCCUCUCCUAAAACUUUCCCGGCCGGUCCUCGUGAUCGGCCUUUUUUUUGUGCAGU